This 498-nucleotide ribosomal RNA is filed under the name uncultured bacterium. RNAcentral's name for it is "bacterial SSU rRNA". It matches the Rfam family "Bacterial small subunit ribosomal RNA", at positions 28 to 532 of the family's 1533-position model. The record is from RNAcentral.
GACGAACGCUGGCGGCGUGCUUAACACAUGCAAGUCGAACGGUGACGAGGAGCUUGCUCCUCUGAUCAGUGGCGAACGGGUGAGUAACACGUGAGCAAACCUGCCCCAGACUCUGGGAUAACAGUUGGAAACAGCUGCUAAUACCGGAUACGAGACGGAGAGGCAUCUCUACCGUCUGGAAAGUUUUUCGGUCUGGGAUGGACUCGCGGCCUAUCAGCUAGUUGGUGAGGUAAUGGCUCACCAAGGCGACGACGGGUAGCCGGCCUGAGAGGGCGACCGGCCACACUGGGACUGAGACACGGCCCAGACUCCUACGGGAGGCAGCAGUGGGGAAUAUUGCACAAUGGGCGAAAGCCUGAUGCAGCGACGCCGCGUGAGGGAUGACGGCCUGGUGUAACGUCUUCUGCAGGGAAGAAGACGGAAAGUAGACGGUACCGUACGCGAGAAGAAGACGACCGGCGUAACUACGUAGCCACGCAGCCGCGGUAAAGCGUAACG